AUGGGGGGAACCCUGAUGCAGCGACGCCGCGUGCGGGAUGGAGGCCUUCGGGUCGUGAACCGCUUUUACAGGGGAGCAAGCUUUCGGGUGAGUUAACUUUGUGAAUAAGCACCGGCUAACUACGUGCCAGCAGCCGCGGUAAUACGUAGGGUGCAAGCGUUGUCCGGAUUUAUUGGGCGUAAAGGGCUCGUAGGCGGUUCGUCGCGUCUGGUGUGAAAGCCCGCUGCUUAACGGUGGGUUUGCGUUGGAUACGGGCGGGCUUGAGUGCAGUAGGGGAGACUGGAAUUCUCGGUGUAACGGUGGAAUGUGUAGAUAUCGGGAAGAACACCUAUGGCGAAGGCAGGUCUCUGGGCUGUUACUGACGCUGAGGAGCGAAAGCGUGGGGAGCGAACAGGAUUAGAUACCCUGGUAGUCCACGCUGUAAACGGUGGACGCUGGAUGUGGGGCCCAUUUCCACGGGUUCCGUGUCGGAGCUAACGCGUUAAGCGUCCCGCCUGGGGAGUACGGCCGCAAGGCUAAAACUCAAAGAAAUUGACGGGGGCCCGCACAAGCGGCGGAGCAUGCGGAUUAAUUCGAUGCAACGCGAAGAACCUUACCAGGGCUUGACAUGUUGACGAUCGCCUCA
Molecule: ribosomal RNA, 625 nt
Filed under: Parascardovia denticolens
Lineage: Bacteria; Bacillati; Actinomycetota; Actinomycetes; Bifidobacteriales; Bifidobacteriaceae
Description: bacterial SSU rRNA
Rfam family: Bacterial small subunit ribosomal RNA
Source: RNAcentral